Molecule: long non-coding RNA, 5816 nt
Filed under: Marmota monax (woodchuck)
Lineage: Eukaryota; Metazoa; Chordata; Mammalia; Rodentia; Sciuridae
Source: RNAcentral
ACUUUUUACACCAGCAAAUGUCCCCGGGGAAAGCACAUCCACAUGAUUUGAGGCAAAGCUAGCAAUACUAAUCUAUUUUCAAAUGAACAUGUUCUUUGGAGAAGUGUGUUUAAGAUUGGGUAGACAUAUAAAAGAAAGAAGUUGAGUCGUGGAGGGAGGAAAGAAAGAGAAAAGAAAGGACCAUCCACUCACCCAGGCAACUCCCACCCCCAGUCUCUGAAGUCUUUGAAGGUAAAAGUUAGUGAUAGUUUAUGCAUAAAAUGUCCAGAUUCUUCUUCUGUUCCCUAAAUCUGCUUCUACCACCGUGUAUCUGUCUCUGGGCCUUUCUCUUCCUGGAGAGAUGGGAUGUUACCUUUGAAUCUUUUCCUUGUAGCUUUUCUCCUGCAUUCCUUCCAGGGAUCCCCCAACCCAAACUGCAAUAGAGGGGAAAUAGAGGACUGGGGCUAUUCUGGAGAAACUGUUUUUUUUUUUUUUUCUCUAGCAACUAAGAUACAUUAUUUUAAUUGCUGUUGUAAAGUUCUUGUAAGGAAUUCUAAGUUACCCUCCUACUUUGACAGAUGAAGCCUUCUGGGAAGUUGGCAGUCCUGGGAGCCCAGGGCAAUGCUGAAAUGCCCUUCCAAACAAGGACCCAAACAGCUGAAGGGCUCCAGUUACCCAAGAGGUGAGUGACAUGGACACUUCUUUGGCCAGUUGGAGAAGGGGAAGGAGUGGGGUGAGGGAGGUGGAGAAGGGAAGGACAGAGGAGAAAGGACAGGAUGGAGACGUGACAGGAGGGUUGAGGAGUGAUGAGCCAGCAGCCUGAUGACAGGGAGUGGAACUGUCUCUGACCAUACCCUGCUGUACUCUGGGGAGCCUGGGUGGCUCCCUACUUUGAACCUCAGAACGAUAUACCCACCAAAAUUUGUCCACCUCUGAUGAAAAGUGACUGUUGUCAAUGAAGAUAGCCACUUGUGUACUAAAGUGGAGUUUGUCCUACAUUUUUGAUUUGGGACUUAAAUAUUAUUAAGUUUAUGAAUCAAAAAAAAUUCAUGCCCAUUUUAAUUUUAUCUUGUUUUUGCUCAUCUGAAAUUUGUGUAUUUUUCUAAAAUGACUAUGGAUUGACUUGGCAAUAACAAAAAUAAAUAAUUUUGAUCACAAAAAAAUUGAAUCAGCUUAAAAAAUUGCGAAAACAAUUUUUAAAAUAUUUAUAGAGUAUAUUAUAGAAGACCGAAUACCUGAUUGUUAACCUUGGAUAAUUUAAAAGGUUGGGGAUGGAAUUAGAAAGACAGACAGACAGACGGAAGAUUACCAACUUCUUUAACUAUCUCUUUAUUGCUUGACUUGUUAAAAUGAUUGUUUAUUAUUUUUGUCAUUCUUAAAGUAAAUUUAAGAAAGAAUUAAAAAGUAAAUCAUCAUCUUCUACCAUUUGUUUUUUAAAAGCAAAGCUACUUAUUAAGUGAAACGCUUUUUUAAAUUUAUUUUUUAAAUACACGACAACAGUGGAGUGCAUUACCAUCCUUAUUACACAUACAGCACAAUUUUUCAUAUCUCUGUAUGAAGUAUGUUCACACCAAAUUAUGCCAUUAUACAUGUACUCUUUUUUUUGCAUUACAACUCUUUUUUUAUAUUUAUUUUUUUAGUUGUAUUUGGACACAAUACCUUUAUUUCAUUUAUUUAUUUUUAUGUGGUGCUGAGGAUCGAACCCAGGGUCUCACACAUACGAGGCAAGCGCUCUACCGCUGAGCCACAACCCCAGCCCCAUUACAACUCUUAAUGCACAUAUAUACCACAAUUUUUCAUAUCUAUGUUUGUAUAUAAGGCAUGUUGACACCAAAUUCAAAUAAGUGAAACACUUUUAACUCACUAUUUUUUAACUGUAUACAUUUUUUAAGUUGAGGUUUAUUUCUUCAGCAGAUCUUCUCUGCCAAUUUUAUGUGUGUCACCUUAUAUGACAGAAGGUGAUUUGGGGGUUUGUUCCCCAGAAUGAAAAACAUAGGCCUUUCUGUCACAAAUGACUAUUUCUACCCAAUAAAUUUAUAAACACACAUCUUAUGUAGAACUUUAAUAGCUUAAAUAAUUUGUUUGUCAACUAUGAAUUCUUAAGCUGACAGAAAAGUUUUGGAAAACAACUUUUUAAAAAAAUUUUGAGUUCCUUCAGCUGUUUAAAAAUUAUUGCAAAUAAUUGCCUUUAUCCUAGUGGUAACAGUUAUCCUGAAGUUGGUGAGUAUCUUCCUGGUCCAGUAUUUUAUAGUUUUCCAAUUAACUCUUAUCUUUUUUGAGAUACACAUAGCUCUAAUUCCUUUGUUUUCAUUGCUGCAUAGCAUUCCAUUAUUUAAGACAAUUCUAAUUUUUCUCUAUUGUGAAAGUUGUUGCUGCAUUGGACAUCCAAAUUCAUGUCUUUUUGUGCACUUGAAUAAGAAUCCAUCCAAAGGAUUUUCCUAGGUGUGGGAUUACUGAGUCCACUGGAAAACCUCUUAAAAAUAGAAUGAAAGAGAAAGAGAGAAAUGGACAAAGUCUUAGGUUUUGUCCCAGAAUUCCAGGUCAUCUCUCUUUACUGAAUGAUGGGUUCUCCAAUUCCUUUUAAUACUUUUUUUUUCAAUCCCAAAUUUGAAAAAUUGGAAACCUCUUCAUCAAAACCCUGAUUAUUAAGAUUUGUUGGUCAAAAAUCUAAAAACUGACUCAUCCUGAAGCCGAACUGAUGGGGAUACUGGUAAAUAAGUCAUUUUUCCCCCUCUCCUUUCAGAAUAUCACACAUCAACUUAGAACAUAUUAAACAAGAUGGCAAGAUUAAUGAGCUUAUUCAAAAAAGAAAAUAAGUCUUGGUAAGUAGAAUGAUAAAUUAAAAAUCCUGAAUCUUUAUGAACCCAAAAGGCUCAAAGAUGGCAUCUAAUCUAAGCUGCAUCUCUGGGAUAUUACUUUAUGAGCAUGCUGUCAUCAUAUUUUUUCUUCCUUCUAAAUCAAUUUCAGCAUGUCUGCAUCAGCAGACUUCAGAUGAUGUAUUGGCAGCUUCAUUUUAAUCGUUUGUUGCUACAGGGUGACCUGUGGCCUUUCCAAAAGAGGUAAAAUGAAUCUUCCCAUUGUUAACUCCUCCUACCUCAUCAUCAACCCAUAUUCAUUUGAAUGCCACCAAGGACUGACAGACUCCAGGAGGGUCAGUUGCUGCCCAGUACCUGUGGUCACCUAUAGUUUCUUCAGCCCCUUCUGUGGGGAACUCCUGGUAAAAGUCUACAACCUGCCUAGACCUUCCAAGGCUUCCCAGUGCUCCCAAUACUGCAGUCCCCCACCCCCAUGUCCCAAAAUGUUAUUUAUGUAUGCGUAAGCUGUGACAUGCAACCAAAUUUAGAUGGCCUCCUGCUCAGUCCAUUGCAUUUUAAUAGUUAUUAAUUUUACAGUGUGUUUUGCAGCUUUUACUGCCAGUGAUAUUGCUUAAAUACUAUUAAGUUAAAAAAAUCAUUCUUUUAAAAAAUUAGUAUGUAGAGGUGCAUAUGGCUAUGGUAAAUACGACAAUCAAAGACAAUAACUGGAUUUAGGAGAAAUUGCCUAAAACAAAUUGUGGUCUGUCUUAGAGUGCUAUAAAUCCCUGAAUUUAUGUGAGUGUUACACAUAGGAAAUGUUACUUGAAACACAUUCUUUCUGCUCUCAGUUCACCUACCUAGAAAGUCCAAUGGUUAAACCAGAUCAAGGAUUUUCAGCCCUGUUUUCAUUUUUGAAUCACCAAGACAGGCAUAAAAAAUAGUGAUACCUGGGAUCUUCUCUCAAUUAAUUCACUAAACUAAUUCUGAAGUUAUAAGAUAAUUGAUCUUCUGAUUUCAUGAAUAGACUAUAAAUACAGAGUAAAUACAGAUCCUGUAAUGAUGGAGGAGGCUCCUUGUUCUUUUUAGAAGCAACUGUAACAACUGUGAUUUUCACCCACUUUCCAGUCCUGAGUCAACACAGGCCUGGAAGCUCCCUCCACUCUGUUUGGGUUGUACCAGUUCCUACCACAGUGCUUGAUAUACAGUAGAUGCUCAAUGAAUACUGGAUGAAAGGAUGACAGAGUGAAGUUCCACAACCUGGUUUUAAGCAGAGCAUCUAAGAUUAAUCAAGUUGUCAGAAAUUGGGCCAUAGUAGAACUCUUCAGGGUCCAAGAAGUAGAGCCAAUCUAUUCCAGAGUAUUCUCUCCCUGGUAAAUAAGACCUGAAUAUCAUUUGGUGCAUUACUCAGCUUUCUGUUACUGUAACGAAUACCCAAGAUAAUCAACUUAUUUAGGCUCACAGUUUUGGAGCUUUUAGUCUGUGGUAGGGAAGAUCCAUUGCUUUAGGCCUCUGGCAGUGGGGAGGGGGCAGCAUGUCAUGGCGGGAGUGUAUGGCAAAGCAAAACUGCUCACCUCAUGGCCAAGAUGGGAAAGAGAGUAGAAGAAGAAGGUAUAGGAGUCCCACUGUCCCCUUCAAGAUCACACCCCCAGUAUGGAAGACCUCCCCCUAGGCCUCACCACAUAAAGCUUCCACUACCUCCUAACAGCAGCACAGGCUGGAGAAGAGCCUUGGGUGGUCAUUUCACAUCCAAACCUAGCACUCUUUGAGCAUAGGACAAAUGUUGGAUGUUCUAUUUCCAUCCAACUCUGAAGGCUUGACUUCCUUUAAGACCAUUUUUAUGUAAAGGGUCAGGGUCAUUCAUCCAGAAUGCCUGUUAGGCCUCCUGGCAACACACUGAUAGAUUUUCAUUUUCCAACAUUCCCUUUCCAAAUAUUCAUGCGACCACCACCCUGUCGUUUACUCUCCUGGUUACCACAACAAACGGUUUCCUAAGUGUUAGAUUGUUUUGCUGCUUGCUAAUGACAUACCAGGGAGAAGCACAUUAAUCUCCUCAGUAAGGUCACUCCAAAUCACUCUGCAAGAUGGGUUACUUCUGGAAAGCUGUCCCCUAAACAGCUAAUCCCAUCUUUCUUACAGGCUUGACUUACGGAGAUGGCAUCUGCUGACCUUAUGUUUUUGAGAGCCAUCUUAUUUUGAGGACUGCUGUGUUCUGCUCACCAUCUACAAUUACUAUGACUAAAAAUACUUUGGAGGGUAGAGAGUCUUCAAGGGGACUUUGAGACCUGGACUGUGUUCCUCCUAUUUUGAUGUCAUAUUUCAAAGUAAUGGCCCUGUUCCUGUGUUAAACUGCUGAUUACCUGCCAGACCGACAUUGUACUUCACAUUUGAUUGGAAAUCAGUCUUUAUGCUGAACCUUGUGAUUAUGUUGCCCUUUUCCCCAAAAUGUGGCCAAUAGUGAUUUUCCUGAUAACACCAUCACCUCUUAGCCACAUUCUCUGUGCAUCAUGCCAAGGCUACAUUGUCCCCAUGGAAAUGUAAGCCUCUACCCCUGUGUGAUAGGCAUAAUCCCAUUAAAUGACAUCUCUGUCUCCCAUCCCCAAUAGUAUAAAUUAGAGUGUCCACACAAACCUAGAUCACGGAGAUCAUUAUGCUAAAUGAAAUAAGACAGGCGCAGAAAGACGAUUACUGCCUGAUUGCACUUACAUGUGGAAUCUAAAAAUGUUGAUCUCACAGGAGCUGAGAAUACAAUGGUGGUUACCAGAGGCUGAGGAGAGCAGUGGGAAGGCAAGAAGGGGAAAAAGUUGAUCCACGGGUACUAAGUCACAGACAAGAGCAAGACAUUCUGGUGUGCUAUUUCAUAGUAGAAUGAUCCUAGAUAACGAUUCUGUACUCAAAAAGCUACAAGAAAGGAUUGUGAAUGAUCUUACCAUGCAAAAUGAUAGAUGACUGAGAAGAUAAACAUGUUUAACCUGAUUUAAGCAUCACUAAUGUACACAUAUAUUGAAACAUCAUGUGGUACCCCACUAAUAUGUAUGAUUUUUG